RNAcentral lists this ribosomal RNA (468 nucleotides) under uncultured bacterium. RNAcentral describes it as "partial 16S ribosomal RNA". It matches the Rfam family "Bacterial small subunit ribosomal RNA", at positions 28 to 507 of the family's 1533-position model. The record is from RNAcentral.
GAUGAACGCUGGCGGCGUGCUUAACACAUGCAAGUCGAACGGAAAGGCCCUGCUUUUGUGGGGUGCUCGAGUGGCGAACGGGUGAGUAACACGUGAGUAACCUGCCCUUGACUUUGGGAUAACUUCAGGAAACUGGGGCUAAUACCGGAUAGGAGCUCCUGCUGCAUGGUGGGGGUUGGAAAGUUUCGGCGGUUGGGGAUGGACUCGCGGCUUAUCAGCUUGUUGGUGGGGUAGUGGCUUACCAAGGCUUUGACGGGUAGCCGGCCUGAGAGGGUGACCGGCCACAUUGGGACUGAGAUACGGCCCAGACUCCUACGGGAGGCAGCAGUGGGGAAUAUUACGCAGUGGGCGGAAGCCUGAUGCGGCAACGCCGCGUGCGGGAUGACGGCCUUCGAGUUGUAAACCGCUUUCGCCUGUGACGAAGCGUGAGUGACGGUAAUGGGUAAAAAAGCACCGGCUAACUACGUG